This is a small nuclear RNA of Suricata suricatta (meerkat), 103 nucleotides long. Lineage: Eukaryota; Metazoa; Chordata; Mammalia; Carnivora; Herpestidae. The record is from Ensembl.
UCACUUUGGCAGUGUAUAUACUAAAAUUGGAAUGAUACAGAGAGGAUUAGCAUAGCCCCUGUGCAAGGAUGACCUGCAAGUUUAUGAAGCAUUUCAAAUGUUU